This is a non-coding RNA of Aedes aegypti (yellow fever mosquito), 117 nucleotides long. NCBI's taxonomy places the organism in Eukaryota, Metazoa, Arthropoda, Insecta, Diptera, Culicidae. The record is from Rfam.
UGCCCAGCAACUCCUAUCCCUACCUCCUCGUGAUACUGGCCGGGGUACGAGUAACCUUGGGGAAGAUCGGGUAACCAACCCCCGGUGGGAACUUUGGUCGUAUGCUGACAGGGAAGG